AUACACUACAUUUCAUGUAUCUGUUCAUCAGUUGAUAGAUAUUUGGGUUGUUUCCACCUUUUGGCUAUUAUAACCUUAUGUUAUAUUCCUGUACAAGUUUUGGGUGGGCAUAUGUUUUCUCUUGGAUAUACACUUAGGAAAGGUCAAAUGCUAACUAUGUUUAACCUUUUGUGGAACUGCCAGACUGUUUCCAAAGCAAUGGCAUCAUUUUACAUCUCCACCAGCAGUGUAUCCUUGUGACUUCUCCACAGCCUCUGAUGCCUUUUUGAAGGGGAGCGUCUGUGGCAAUUUUCCUGUCCCUGCCUUGCCAUUGCAUGUUGGGUCAGGGGAGGAGAGCAAAUAAUUUGUGCCUUUAGUUCACAGGUAUUUGGUUGAGAACAGCUGCACCAAAAGAGCCUCAUCUGUACCUGGACCUGACAUAAAUGAGCUCCUGGACUCAAGCUAACAUAGCAAUAGAGCAAGACUUGUGGGAGUCUUGGGUGUGGGCGAGUGCAGUGUGCACGUGGGUGAGUGGCCAGAGUGUGCCCUGUGGUAAAUUGCUGUUCUGGUGAUCACCUCCAAUGAACCACCCUUGUAGGUAUCCACUCCUUGUGGGGUUCUUUCCCACAUGGACUCUGGGCUGGGCCGAUUACUGCUUGAACCAUCAGACAAUGACAAAAAUGAUGCAGUGCCAGUUGUAGGCCUAGCCCUUAACUGCUUGGGCAGCAUCCUCUUCUUCCAUUUGGAACCCAGAUACCACAAGGCAACCUAAGCCGCCACUGGGUCCUAGCUGAUCUCCCCAACCAAGACUCAGAGGACCACAGCCAUCCCAGCAUCCAGAUGAUACCGCAAAAAAACAGAACCUCCUGGACAACUCAAUUCCCCCCAAGUUUAUGAGACAAUAUGGCUCAAGAGACAGCUACUAUAGAAACAAGUUAUAUUUAUUUACCCAGUUCCUCAACCCACGGGUUCACAGCACUACAAGGAGAUCUCUCGGAGAGCCAACAGCAGGAACAGUAGGGUUAUGAGGAGCAAGUGAGGUCACACACACCAAGUUAUGAGCAAGGCAGCAGCAGUCAACACUGCUGCCCUACUCCUCCAGCAGUGAGGAGGCAGUCGGUUUCACUCGCGCCUGGAUUUCCAAAGCCGUCUAAGUGGAUUUGCUAACUGAUGGGAGUUAACACAAGAACUGAUUCAAGAACUACAAGAAGAAGCCUUAUCUACCACAUGGAUGUGAAUAUGUGACAUUCAGACUAGGAAGCCACUAUCAACAUAUACAAUAACUAAGAUGACAUUUCAGCAUACAUUAUAAAUGCUGGUAAAGAUUUUUAAAAAAGAAAUCGAAGUUCGAAUAUUUUCUCCUAACACCUGGAUUGUCUUACAUAUCCCCAAGUAUACACACACUUUACACCCCACUUGGCCUUAAACUUUUAAUACAGCCUCCUCCAGUCUAUGCUCUGCAUGGCCUCAAACUGUUAACCUUUCUAAAUUAUAAGUCUCAUCAUGUUACCCACUCCCUUCUCAGAUAUCCUCCAUGGCACAACUCCUUACAGGGUAAAUCCAAACCCUUUAGCCUUGCAUACAAAGUCUAUGAUAUGGAGAAGGAUUUUGAUGAGGGAGCAUAAGGCACGCUGAGGACAAAGUUCAAGUUAGCAGCCCCCUCCCAGGAGUGUGCUAUGUGUGAUAUUCCUUGGACACUUCCAGCUGCCCAAGAACAGGAAAGGACAAAGAAAACAAAUAG
Leopardus geoffroyi (Geoffroy's cat) is the source of this 1720-nucleotide long non-coding RNA. RefSeq lists it as uncharacterized. The record is from RefSeq and is a predicted model, not a curated record. The transcript is spliced from 4 exons. NCBI's taxonomy places the organism in Eukaryota, Metazoa, Chordata, Mammalia, Carnivora, Felidae.